This 254-nucleotide ribosomal RNA is filed under the name uncultured bacterium. Its description in RNAcentral is "partial 16S ribosomal RNA". It matches the Rfam family "Bacterial small subunit ribosomal RNA", at positions 524 to 776 of the family's 1533-position model. The record is from RNAcentral.
UACGUAGGGUGCUAGCGUUGUCCGGAUUCAUUGGGCGUAAAGAGCUCGUAGGCGGCUUGGCAAGUCGGGUGUGAAAACUCCAGGCUCAACCUGGAGACGCCACCCGAUACUGCCAUGGCUUGAGUCCGGUAGGGGACCACGGAAUUCCUGGUGUAGCGGUGAAAUGCGCAGAUAUCAGGAGGAACACCGGUGGCGAAGGCGGUGGUCUGGGCCGGUACUGACGCUGAGGAGCGAAAGCGUGGGGAGCGAACAGG